UGAGGAAUAUUGGUCAAUGGGCGCGAGCCUGAACCAGCCAAGUAGCGUGCAGGAUGACGGCCCUAUGGGUUGUAAACUGCUUUUGUAUGGGGAUAAAGUCAAUCACGUGUGAUUGUUUGCAGGUACCAUACGAAUAAGGACCGGCUAAUUCCGUGCCAGCAGCCGCGGUAAUACGGAAGGUCCAGGCGUUAUCCGGAUUUAUUGGGUUUAAAGGGAGCGUAGGCUGGAGAUUAAGUGUGUUGUGAAAUGUAGACGCUCAACGUCUGAAUUGCAGCGCAUACUGGUUUCCUUGAGUACGCACAACGUUGGCGGAAUUCGUCGUGUAGCGGUGAAAUGCUUAGAUAUGACGAAGAACUCCGAUUGCGAAGGCAGCUGACGGGAGCGCAACUGACGCUUAAGCUCGAAGGUGCGGGUAUCAAACAGGAUUAGAUACCCUGGCAGUCCGCACAGUAAACGAUGGAUGCCCGCUGUUGGUACCUGGUAUCAGCGGCUAAGCGAAAGCAUUAAGCAUCCCACCUGGGGAGUACGCCGGCAACGGUG
RNAcentral lists this ribosomal RNA (540 nucleotides) under uncultured bacterium. RNAcentral's name for it is "bacterial SSU rRNA". It matches the Rfam family "Bacterial small subunit ribosomal RNA", at positions 355 to 896 of the family's 1533-position model. The record is from RNAcentral.